Long non-coding RNA from Triticum dicoccoides, 1011 nucleotides. RefSeq lists it as uncharacterized. NCBI's taxonomy places the organism in Eukaryota, Viridiplantae, Streptophyta, Magnoliopsida, Poales, Poaceae. The record is from RefSeq and is a predicted model, not a curated record. The transcript is spliced from 3 exons.
UAUGUUGUGUUGUCACCGACCAUGAGUAUAUAACAGUUUGUUGGACAAAAGUAUUCUUGUGGUUUGUGCCAUGGUUGGGCACCAUCUUAAAUAUAAAAUGAUAACAUUGCAAACAUUUUUAUUUUGAAGGGCCAACAAGAAAGGAUUUCUUCCGGCAGCAUAACAAAGAACCCAUUGGGUGGAUGCAACACCCGAAUGCCUUUUUGACUAAAUCAUUUUAAUUAACUAAUUACAGUGGCGGAGCUAGAUGGGGAGGCAAAGGGCAAAUACAUCAAUUCUUGAGCAGUCCAAAAACUAUAAUUUGUUGAAUUAAGCACCCCCAAGAGUUCUUUAUUCACACAUUUUUUCAAGGUUGGGGGUUUAAUAAGAUCAAGCACUCCGUCCUCUGCCAGGUCGCCGCCGCUGCUCGGGACGUAGACGCGCACAUGGGUCCGUCAGUCGCUGGCAAACGAGGUCGAGUCCGUGCGGAGCACUGGUCUCCUCGCUGUCGUCGUCGUCCUCCCUGCUGCCAGCGACGCCCUCCUGUCUCCUCUGCACCAGUCUACUCCUUCAUAUUAUUUACAAAAGAAAAUGGUUUGGGGUGAAGAGUUGAAGGCUUGAAGCCAAAUGUUCCUAAUCAAGAAGAUGACCCGCACAACUCCCCUGAAACAAGGCCAGCACUAUGUGCCAAGAUUGAAGAUCCCAAAUAUGUUUACUUUGGUCCAAUAUCGUAUAGCAGUGUAAUGCUUCAGGCACUUUUUAUCAUUCAUUUUUAUUAUUCAAAUCUCUAUAUGGUUGCCAUAGAUGCUACUAUUACAUGGAUUUAUUACUAUUUUUCAUGUGUUGUUGAAAAUAGAACUCACUCAUUUAUUUGUCUACGGAGGGAGUAGCAUACAGUAAGCUUCAUUUCACCGAGGAGAUCUUCCGUUACAUAGAGUUAUUAAUUUCAAUAUGAAUUCAGAAUUCAGUACCCACACGAAUUUCGUAGAUGCUUUGAUCGAGACGUGCGUUGCACGUGCAUGCUUACUAGUA